ACAGGCAAACGGGUGCGGAACACGUACACAACCUUCCUAUAAGUGGGGAAUAGCCCAGAGAAAUUUGGAUUAAUACCCCGUAACAUAACGAUGUGGCAUCACAUUGUUAUUAUAGCUUCGGCGCUUAUUGAUGGGUGUGCGGCUGAUUAGAUAGUUGGCGGGGUAACGGCCCACCAAGUCUACGAUCAGUAGCUGAUGUGAGAGCAUGAUCAGCCACACGGGCACUGAGACACGGGCCCGACUCCUACGGGAGGCAGCAGUAAGGAAUAUUGGUCAAUGGACGCAAGUCUGAACCAGCCAUGCCGCGUGAAGGAUUAAGGUCCUCUGGAUUGUAAACUUCUUUUAUCUGGGACGAAAAAAGGCUUUUCUAAGUCACUUGACGGUACCAGAUGAAUAAGCACCGGCUAACUCCGUGCCAGCAGCCGCGGUAAUACGGAGGGUGCAAGCGUUAUCCGGAUUCACUGGGUUUAAAGGGUGCGUAGGCGGGCAGGUAAGUCAGUGGUGAAAUCCUGGAGCUUAACUCCAGAACUGCCAUUGAUACUAUCUGUCUUGAAUAUUGUGGAGGUAAGCGGAAUAUGUCAUGUAGCGGUGAAAUGCUUAGAUAUGACAUAGAACACCUAUUGCGAAGGCAGCUUACUACGCAUAUAUUGACGCUGAGGCACGAAAGCGUGGGGAUCAAACAGGAUUAGAUACCCUGGUAGUCCACGCCCUAAACGAUGGAUACUCGACAUACGCG
RNAcentral lists this ribosomal RNA (736 nucleotides) under uncultured Chitinophagaceae bacterium. RNAcentral's name for it is "bacterial SSU rRNA". It matches the Rfam family "Bacterial small subunit ribosomal RNA", at positions 94 to 828 of the family's 1533-position model. The record is from RNAcentral. Lineage: Bacteria; Pseudomonadati; Bacteroidota; Chitinophagia; Chitinophagales; Chitinophagaceae.